RNAcentral lists this long non-coding RNA (529 nucleotides) under Sus scrofa (pig). RNAcentral describes it as "lncRNA (ENSSSCG00070024376.1)". Lineage: Eukaryota; Metazoa; Chordata; Mammalia; Artiodactyla; Suidae. The record is from RNAcentral.
AGCGUGAAGAGCAGGCAGCAAGUCAGUGCAGAGCUGUGGGGAAGGGCUCCAAGUACUGCAAGGCACACUCAGUACAUUCAGAUCUCCCUGGCAUGGCUAGUGGGCUGGGGGAAUGGGUAAUGGGAGGAAACCACUUCUCUCAAAGACUCCUACCUCUGACUCCCAGGUACCCCUUCACCCACUACCCACAAUGAGCCUUGAGAGCCAGAGAUCUGCAAAGGAGGGGCCUCAGAAGGAUGUGCACCUGAGGCUCAUGCUGGCGCCCACCAGGAAGCACAGCAUCUCCCUCUGAGUAUGGGUGCUCCAGCCCCCACAGCCUGAAUCUGCGGCUAUAAGAGAACUGUUUAUCAAGACUCGGGGACAUGGAAGAGGCGCUGGUAUAUCCCUCCACUCCACUCCUCAAAUCUCAGUGCUGUGCCUCAGGACAUGGCACCCGCAGAGGACAUUCCCGGAAGCUGAGCAGCCCCCCUUGGAAAUGGUGUGUACAGCCUCCACCUCUCCAGCUCUGGGGCUCUCAUUUCUGCUCCUA